This 253-nucleotide ribosomal RNA is filed under the name uncultured bacterium. RNAcentral's name for it is "partial 16S ribosomal RNA". It matches the Rfam family "Bacterial small subunit ribosomal RNA", at positions 524 to 776 of the family's 1533-position model. The record is from RNAcentral.
UACGUAGGGUGCAAGCGUUGUCCGGAAUUAUUGGGCGUAAAGGGCUCGUAGGCGGUCCAUCGCGUCGGGAGUGAAAAGCUGGGGCUUAACCCCAGUCCUGCUUUCGAUACGGGUGGACUAGAGGUAGGCAGGGGAGAACGGAAUUCCUGGUGUAGCGGUGAAAUACGUAGAUAUCUGGAGGAACACCGGUGGCGAAGGCGGCGACCUGGUCCAAUACUGACACUCAUACACGAAAGCGUGGGGAUCAAACAGG